Molecule: ribosomal RNA, 1540 nt
Filed under: Klebsiella quasipneumoniae subsp. similipneumoniae
Lineage: Bacteria; Pseudomonadati; Pseudomonadota; Gammaproteobacteria; Enterobacterales; Enterobacteriaceae
Also listed under: 1 other name
Description: bacterial SSU rRNA
Rfam family: Bacterial small subunit ribosomal RNA
Source: RNAcentral
AAAUUGAAGAGUUUGAUCAUGGCUCAGAUUGAACGCUGGCGGCAGGCCUAACACAUGCAAGUCGAGCGGUAGCACAGAGAGCUUGCUCUCGGGUGACGAGCGGCGGACGGGUGAGUAAUGUCUGGGAAACUGCCUGAUGGAGGGGGAUAACUACUGGAAACGGUAGCUAAUACCGCAUAAUGUCGCAAGACCAAAGUGGGGGACCUUCGGGCCUCAUGCCAUCAGAUGUGCCCAGAUGGGAUUAGCUAGUAGGUGGGGUAACGGCUCACCUAGGCGACGAUCCCUAGCUGGUCUGAGAGGAUGACCAGCCACACUGGAACUGAGACACGGUCCAGACUCCUACGGGAGGCAGCAGUGGGGAAUAUUGCACAAUGGGCGCAAGCCUGAUGCAGCCAUGCCGCGUGUAUGAAGAAGGCCUUCGGGUUGUAAAGUACUUUCAGCGGGGAGGAAGGCGAUAAGGUUAAUAACCUUGUCGAUUGACGUUACCCGCAGAAGAAGCACCGGCUAACUCCGUGCCAGCAGCCGCGGUAAUACGGAGGGUGCAAGCGUUAAUCGGAAUUACUGGGCGUAAAGCGCACGCAGGCGGUCUGUCAAGUCGGAUGUGAAAUCCCCGGGCUCAACCUGGGAACUGCAUUCGAAACUGGCAGGCUAGAGUCUUGUAGAGGGGGGUAGAAUUCCAGGUGUAGCGGUGAAAUGCGUAGAGAUCUGGAGGAAUACCGGUGGCGAAGGCGGCCCCCUGGACAAAGACUGACGCUCAGGUGCGAAAGCGUGGGGAGCAAACAGGAUUAGAUACCCUGGUAGUCCACGCCGUAAACGAUGUCGAUUUGGAGGUUGUGCCCUUGAGGCGUGGCUUCCGGAGCUAACGCGUUAAAUCGACCGCCUGGGGAGUACGGCCGCAAGGUUAAAACUCAAAUGAAUUGACGGGGGCCCGCACAAGCGGUGGAGCAUGUGGUUUAAUUCGAUGCAACGCGAAGAACCUUACCUGGUCUUGACAUCCACAGAACUUAGCAGAGAUGCUUUGGUGCCUUCGGGAACUGUGAGACAGGUGCUGCAUGGCUGUCGUCAGCUCGUGUUGUGAAAUGUUGGGUUAAGUCCCGCAACGAGCGCAACCCUUAUCCUUUGUUGCCAGCGGUUAGGCCGGGAACUCAAAGGAGACUGCCAGUGAUAAACUGGAGGAAGGUGGGGAUGACGUCAAGUCAUCAUGGCCCUUACGACCAGGGCUACACACGUGCUACAAUGGCAUAUACAAAGAGAAGCGACCUCGCGAGAGCAAGCGGACCUCAUAAAGUAUGUCGUAGUCCGGAUUGGAGUCUGCAACUCGACUCCAUGAAGUCGGAAUCGCUAGUAAUCGUAGAUCAGAAUGCUACGGUGAAUACGUUCCCGGGCCUUGUACACACCGCCCGUCACACCAUGGGAGUGGGUUGCAAAAGAAGUAGGUAGCUUAACCUUCGGGAGGGCGCUUACCACUUUGUGAUUCAUGACUGGGGUGAAGUCGUAACAAGGUAACCGUAGGGGAACCUGCGGUUGGAUCACCUCCUUA